AUGAGGGCGUUAUUCUGGAAUAUUAGGGGGUUCGGUGCUAGGGGGCGCCAUGACCAACUUAAAGAUCCGGUUCGUUCUAACUCUAUUGACUUUGUGGGGCUGGUAGAAACCUUCAAGGAAUCCUUCUCCCCUAAUGACCUUUCUGCUAUUGUGGGCAUGGACAGAUUUAAUUGGAACUUUUUACCUGCUUCGGGGCACUCUGGCGGGAUCUUGAUAGGCUCCAAUAAAGAUAUUUUUGAUUUUGUUGCUUUUGAUCAUGGGAUCUUUUGGGCCAGUGUUGUUCUCUCUCAUAAAGCUCAGAAUACUCUUUGUGAGUUUAUCAUCGUCUAUGGGCCUGUGGACCAUUCCUUGUCGCCUUUAUUUCUUAAUGAACUUUCGUUGAAGAUCGGUGCUUGUAAUUUACCGAUGGUUAUUGGGGGAGACUUUAACCUUCUG
RNAcentral lists this ribosomal RNA (435 nucleotides) under Triticum aestivum (bread wheat). RNAcentral describes it as "partial small subunit ribosomal RNA". The record is from RNAcentral. Lineage: Eukaryota; Viridiplantae; Streptophyta; Magnoliopsida; Poales; Poaceae.